This 497-nucleotide ribosomal RNA is filed under the name uncultured bacterium. RNAcentral's name for it is "partial 16S ribosomal RNA". It matches the Rfam family "Bacterial small subunit ribosomal RNA", at positions 28 to 507 of the family's 1533-position model. The record is from RNAcentral.
GACGAACGCUGGCGGCGUGCCUAAUACAUGCAAGUUGAGCGCUGAAGGUUGGUACUUGUACCAACUGGAUGAGCAGCGAACGGGUGAGUAACGCGUGGGGAAUCUGCCUUUGAGCGGGGGACAACAUUUGGAAACGAAUGCUAAUACCGCAUAAAAACUUUAAACACAAGUUUUAAGUUUGAAAGAUGCAAUUGCAUCACUCAAAGAUGAUCCCGCGUUGUAUUAGCUAGUUGGUGAGGUAAAGGCUCACCAAGGCGAUGAUACAUAGCCGACCUGAGAGGGUGAUCGGCCACAUUGGGACUGAGACACGGCCCAAACCCCUACGGGAGGCAGCAGUAGGGAAUCUUCGGCAAUGGACGAAAGUCUGACCGAGCAACGCCGCGUGAGUGAAGAAGGGUUUCGGAUCGUAAAACUCUGUUGGUAGAGAAGAACGUUGGUGAGAGUGGAAAGCUCAUCAAGUGACGGUAACUACCCAGAAAGGGACGGCUAACUACGUG